AUAAAGAAGGCACAUCAGCCUAAUUAACGAGACCUCGAUAGGUACCCUUCCUGGUCUCCUACUUUUCUUUCUUUUAUUCCCAUUUCCUUCUAGGUUCGCGGUCCCCCUCGCACCCACGAAUAACUGAAUCCCGCGGGACGGGAUACCUUUCCUACCAACCUCUUGAACAACGGAAGUACAGGACUGACGACCUUGAGCUUGUGGAGGUGAAGACUACAGCGGAAAAACCCAUAAAACAGUAAACUAUUCCUUCAGGAUUUUCUUGUUCUGCACAGGUAAGGCUCCUGCCUUGUCUUAAGCAUAACUGAUCUUCAGCUGAAGAGGAGGUCAUAGCUAGGCUUAGCUUUUCCUUAGCUUUCUCUUUGCCCAUU
Molecule: long non-coding RNA, 371 nt
Filed under: Mus spicilegus (steppe mouse)
Lineage: Eukaryota; Metazoa; Chordata; Mammalia; Rodentia; Muridae
Description: lncRNA (ENSMSIG00000010686.1)
Source: RNAcentral